AGGCCGCCCUGGCCCAUCCCGCACUGAGCUCCAGGCCCAUGGGCGAGCCAGCUGCGGCGGCUAUAAUUAGAGGGGAGCCGCGGCCCUGCCGAGCCUGAUACCUCGCGCCCCCCGCCGGCGUUCCUGGGAGGAAUGUGCGGGCGCGAGGCCGUGCGUCGCCGCCAGCGCGCUCCCUGGACGGUCACCGCGUGGUGGACCAAAUAAAGUAAAAGCCCCAUGGACUGUAGACCACUAGGCUUCUCCGUCCAUGGGAUUCUCCAG
Molecule: long non-coding RNA, 261 nt
Organism: Bos taurus (domestic cattle)
Lineage: Eukaryota; Metazoa; Chordata; Mammalia; Artiodactyla; Bovidae
Source: Ensembl